UGGCUAACCUACGUUUGAAUACGAAGUG
This 28-nucleotide non-coding RNA is filed under the name Rattus norvegicus (Norway rat). Lineage: Eukaryota; Metazoa; Chordata; Mammalia; Rodentia; Muridae. The record is from RNAcentral.